UGCCAAGUGCUGGGGUAAAGGG
RNAcentral lists this unclassified non-coding RNA (22 nucleotides) under Mus musculus (house mouse). Its description in RNAcentral is "oocyte_clustered_small_RNA13844". Lineage: Eukaryota; Metazoa; Chordata; Mammalia; Rodentia; Muridae. The record is from RNAcentral.